UCAAGAUGCCUCAGAUGGAGCCUUAUGAUAGAACUGUCGAUUUGGUGGACCAUUUUAGAAUUUUUGGACUUUGAUGCUUUUGUAAUGAGCUAGCGAUGCAACUCUCUAUCGAGCUUUUCCUUCAACUUUGAGGAAGGCAACUUGUCAUUGGUACUCUAAUCUGCAAUCGAGUUUUGUGGAUUCAUUCUAUCAAUUAAGUCAGCUCUUCAUCGUAUAUUUCAUUAGUAGCCGACGAC
RNAcentral lists this long non-coding RNA (236 nucleotides) under Elaeis guineensis (African oil palm). RNAcentral's name for it is "long non-coding RNA (EGUI_LNC031932)". The record is from RNAcentral. Lineage: Eukaryota; Viridiplantae; Streptophyta; Magnoliopsida; Arecales; Arecaceae.